Molecule: microRNA, 23 nt
Filed under: Mus musculus (house mouse)
Lineage: Eukaryota; Metazoa; Chordata; Mammalia; Rodentia; Muridae
Description: mmu-miR-7234-3p
Source: miRBase by way of RNAcentral
AAACGUCUUUCUAGGGUAGAAGG